This is a long non-coding RNA of Mus musculus (house mouse), 3621 nucleotides long. RefSeq annotates it as predicted gene, 36819. The record is from RefSeq and is a predicted model, not a curated record. The transcript has 3 exons. NCBI's taxonomy places the organism in Eukaryota, Metazoa, Chordata, Mammalia, Rodentia, Muridae.
AUUUUUGAAAAAAUGACUCAGUCUGAGAAACCCUAACUGCCUCCCAGAAGGUUCACCUCCUGACCCACUCUCUUGAGACUGGCUCAUUGGAGUAGAGGACCCUGUCCUUCUGUCUGGCUCUGCCAUCCUGGUACCAGGCAUAUACGAGCAGAAGCAUCCUGUCACAGAGUGACGUCAUCUUUCUGGAGUCAUCUCCUCUUCCCUCGUCGUCCCACUCAUUCCUCUCCUGUGCUGACCACAUUCUGGGGAAGGCCUGGAAGAAAUGGAAGCCAUCCUUCACGAGUCCCCCACCAGGUGCUUGGCACGGUGCUCUGCAUCUGAUGUGAAGUUCGCACUAAGUCCGGGACUGUAAUUCUCCUUUUGCUGACAGUGAAAGAGUCCUCAGGAAAGCAGGGUGCCUUUGCGCAAGGCCAACCAGCAAGAAACAGGACCUGGAUGACAGAGCCAGCUGCCUCCCCAUAUGAGGGCACUGGGAGAAGCGGGGUAGGCAAGGAAGGAAGCGGAGUCAUUCACUGCCUCAGGCAACAAGCAAUAGAUUUCCCUAGAUCCCGUCUGCUAGGCACUUAGAUGCUUGGAAGCUGAGGCUGCAGAAACUGGCUUCUUUCUGACUCAGAGGUGCCAUCUUCAGGCCAGCGGAAGUGUUGCAAACAGGAACAAGCACCUGCCCCUCUGCUCUCCACUAGACAGGCACCACCAGAUGCUGGCUGGGGAAGGGACCUUCCAUCUUAAAAUAUUCCAGAGUGAGGCAGAGGGAUGGACUAGCUCAGAGUUACAGAGUUAGAGAUGGCAGAACAGGAGCUGCACCCCUAUGACCCCGUCAGUGACCCCUCACUUUCCAGACUCUCUUUCAUCAUCUUUCAUCAUGCAUCCUCACUUUCUUCCCACUCUCCUCUUCCUCUUUCUUCUUCCCCUUCUUCCUCCCCUCCAUCCGACAGCUGUUAUUGAGCACUUUGUAGGUUUUGGGCAUAGUCUCCCGCCUGGGAUAGGAAGUCUGGGUGCGGGAAAGUCUGCUCUCAGGGAUCGUUGUUGAAUUGAUUAGUUGACAUCGUAACUUUCCAACUAUAGCUGAGAUGCAUAGAGCAAGUCUUACCACAUUUCAGGCCCUCCAUAGAGGCUUCGUCUCACUGACUUCUCACAGAAUAGAAGAUUCAGCCGUGGGGCAGUUUGGGAGCAUGCUCAGUAGGACCCAGUAAGUUGUGGAGCCGUGACUCAAAACCCAGAUCCUUUCUACCUCAGAACCAGAGAUGUCAACUGCAGUGUUGUAUGUCUUCUCUAAAGGAUAACCCAGGAAGCAGGCAUGUUCUCAUAACAUUUUGUUCUCUACAAUAUUUGCUUGUUCUGGGUCUGAGCGAGGUGAAGGCCAUCUUCUCCAGUUCCUUGCUUCUGAAUUCUGAGGAUUUUUAUUGAGGUAUUGUUAGGUCCUGGUUACUGAGCAAGGUAUCAGGCACAGGGAAGGGACUGACUCAGAGAGAAUCAUGACGUGUAGAUGGCAGUGUUACAGAAUCAAUUAGCAAUCAUGUCUUUGUAGAAGCACUCCACAUCACUGGGAAGGAUCCAGUUACAUUGUCUGGUAGAAGUGGCCCUCCUCUCCCAGUUGUGUAGUGAAUUACCUGAGUGACCAGACAUACAGUCCCUGACUCAAGUCUCCUAGAAACACAGGCCAAAUUCAAAGAGCUGAGAGACAAAAUGGUCACAUGAGCCUUUACAGGGCAGCUGAGGGGCCUGGGAAUCCUAAGAUAAAGACGGGUUUCUGGUCCCCUCAACAGGGGCCAUCAUCAAGUUUUGAGGAAAUGAGCCUCUGUGUUCUGAUACCAUUUUAGUUUCCAUUUCUUCAUUAGCUACAAGCUUGCAUUUCUCUUAAGUUCACAGGAAUCCUGCCUUUGUUCUUCCUUUUUAUGGGGAAGGUCUAGCUUCUCCUAUGUGUGUGGAUGUGCUCAUGAGCACGCACGAUUGGCUCCUGAAAGUAGAACUCACCAGCUUAUAGGUGUCAUAUCCGAAGCCAGAAGAUGAAGUGUGACCAUCAGAAGCCACUUAAGGAAUUUCUCCACCAAAGCUACAGUGACAUCCUUAGACAAGGAAGCCCCAUCAUGUGCACGUGUCUUAGGCAGAGGGCAGUGCAGCACAGAGAUGCGCUUUAACACUUCUCCUCCCUGCCUUUGCUCUGGAUAGCAUAUCUUCACUUCCCAAGAACAGUGUGUGUGUGUCUGUAUAUGAACAUGUACACAGAUUUUAUGUGCUUAGUGCAAACACACAUACCUCAGAGGAAUGGAUUUCCUAACAGUUCUGCCAGGGCUACAACGGGGGAGGGGACUCUCUAAUGCCCUCGAAAUUUCCAAGAUUCUUUUCUCUUUCAAAAAUAACAACUCUUUUAAGAUUUCAUUUUUCUCUGCCCUGAAUAGAACGACAACGUAACAAAAAUUGUAACAUCGAAGGGAGACAACCUUGGACCCAAGUCUCUGUCCUCCCAGGAAAGGACCGAUCAGCCAGUUUUGGGGCUUUAUAUAAAUGAUAAGAGGGCCACGGACACAUGGUCCACACGGGUUUCGUCACUAUGUGAAUAAGUCUUGUGAAGACAUACCUACCAUCCCUCGAGGUGGUUCUAGAAGGGGAGGCCGAGGUGGCCGAGACCCUGGCUUUACAUUAUAGAAGGGAAGGUGCUUGCUAUUGUAAAUGUUGGGGUGAGGGGCACCUCGGGCGGCGGCAGCAGAGAUGGGAGCAAAGUUCUACCUGUUGGCUCUAGGAGAAAUCUCACCAGGCCCGCACUUUCUUCUUGACUCAGAGUUCUCAGAGCCACACCAUGGCUUUUAAUAGGUUUUGCUGACCACUAGGAACCAUCAGCUGAGACAACCUUGUUUCUGCGGGGAUUCUUCAGUGAGUGAUUCCAGGUCUUAGGUGCUCUGGUCUUGCCUCCUGCUUGGUGCUGUCCUGGGUUGCUCACCGCUUUCUGCCCUCCCUUCCCUCUCAUUUUUGUACUUGAAUUUCCCCCUGGUUCCCAGUACUCCGUGGUUUCUGUUGACUUGGCUGGACUUUGCCUGAUGCAUUAGAACUUUUAUUGGUUUUACCUUAUAACAGCCUGCAGUAAAGAUGAUGAUGAUAGUGUUGGUGAUUUCCAUCCCUUCCUUGGUCUAUAACCUCACAUAUUACAAAGCUUUCGCCCUGGUUCUGUAAUUUGAGUUUCGUAAUAACAGUGUGAUGUAAGAAAGGCACUUAUUAUUAAUUCCACUUUACAGAACGGGAAAUGACUUCACUCUGUUCACACAGCUGCUGGGUCUGGAGUCUGGAACCAGAUCCUCUGUAGACUUUCCUCACCCGAGUUAACCCUUUAUUUCCCAUCACCAUCCUGACUGCCCCAUUGGGAAAGAGUCUUAACGCUCUUGUGUCUUUAUGGUGUUUUCCUGAACAUAGGGGACAAACCACAGGUCAAGGGAGUCUUAAUUUUUUUUUUAAUUCCUGGGUAAUACAUGUGAUAAUACUUGGUGGUUUAGAGUGGUACCAUUGGUAGCAAAUUCAAAUGUCUAAUCAGAAAAUAUUAAUCAACUGAAAGUCCAUUAUGUUGUGUACCACUUUUUCCUUAUCUAUCCGUCCAGGCUGGUUCCACUUCUUUGUUGUUGCACAGGGUGG